CACCGUCCGGCCACCUCCGGCCAUCGCCAAGCCUCGCCGGACCUCCCCCGCGACCCCCUCGCCUUCCGCCGGCCUUCCCUCGCCAUUUUGGCCGCCGGAUCUGCUCCGACCAGCCAAAGGCAGAAACCCACGAAAUGGGUUUCCAGCGGCUUUAGGCCCGCUUUUGGGCCGUUUCCGGGCCCCGGAUCCGUGAAUCGCUUUGGGAAGUUUCGUUCCUCGCGUCGCCGCCGUCGGAUUGAUCCGAUUUGUGCGCGAUUUGGUGAGUAAUCUCACUAAUCUUGGAUUAGUUGGCUAAUUAUGCUUAAGGUUGGUUUAGAUUUAAUUAAUUAUGUUUAGGUUGUUAGAUUAGAAUAAAUUAGCAAUUAUUAGUGAAUUGUGAUGCGAUUUAGAUAAAUUGAUUGUGCAAUUAGCAAGUAGACGUGGUCUACUAAUUAUUGGAAGUGCCUCGGGAUUUUUCCCGACCCUUAGUGGGCUCCAAUUAGGCUUUUCGGGCCUAAGUGGAUUUUUUAGUAUUUAAAUAUUAAUUUUCGGAAUUACAUUAAAUAAUUAUUUAUUUUCCGAAAAUUCAACUGAGAUGGCCCGGGAUCGGAAUAGUAUGCUGAUGACUGUGGUGAAGUCCGUUUAUUUAAUCGGGCUUUAUUUUGAGCUAAAUUGAAUUUUUAAUAUUAAUUUUUAAUUUUCGAAAUUUAUAAAUUAAUUAAUUAUUUUUCGGAAAUUAAGAUUUUGAUGGCCGACGACUGAAAUCUCGUGCUGAUCGUCGUGGCGCAGUCCGUUUAUUUAUUUGAGCUCUACGUUGUAUGGAAUUGAAUAAAUUGUGACAUUUUAGGGAUUUACCCUAAAUUGAUUGGAAUCGAUUGAGAUUGAAUUAUCGAUUGGUGAAUGGCCAAGUAUGUUUAUUCAGCAUUUAUAAUGCUUUGUUGAGUUAAUUUAAUUAUUUGAUUGAGUAUUGAUUGGUGAAUGGCCAAGUAUGUUUAUUCAGCAUUUAUAGUGCUUUGUUGAGUUGUAAAGGGAGUAGAAUGAUGAGAGUGAAUCAGAAGUACUCUGGGAUUGAACCAAUCAGACACGGUGUAUGGACCUACGUGGUUCGGUGAUUGGGACAUCACUGGCGAAAACGGCGCCUUAAAGAACGCACGUAUCGGUCUAGUACAUACAUUAUUAUGGACCUACGUGGUUCGGUGAUUGGGAUAUCACUGGCGAAAACGGCGCCUUAAAGAACGCACGUAUCGGUCUAGUACUCACAUUGUUAUAGGCAUGUAUGGUUCGGUGACUGAGGGUGUCACUGGCGAAAACGGCGCCUUAAAGAACGCAUACACUUGUCUAUUAAACACAUUGUUAUAGGCAUGUGUGGUUCGGUGAUUAUGGAACUCACUGGCGAAAACGGCGCCUUAAAGAACGCACACAAUUGUCUAGUGAGUACAUGGUUAUAGGCAUGCGUGGUUCGGUGAUAAGGACAUCACUGGCGAAAACGGCGCCUUAAAGAACGCACGCAAUUGUCUAUUGAUAAAAUCAUUGUAGGCAUGUGUGGUUCGGUGAUUUGGGAUAUCACUGGCGAAAAUGGCGCCUUAAAGAACGCACACAGUUGUCUAGUGGAUACGUCACCUUGGCGAAGUUGACGCCCGAGAGCAUUGAUGUGGCUCUGUGACCGAGUACUCGAUGAAAGAAUAUAUGGUGUGGAAUUAAUGACCUAGAAUGGUCCGUCUGGCAUGUAAUCGACUAAGUCGAUUGAUCCUUGCUUUGAUUUGAUGUUGUGAAUUGAUUGACUGAAUGGAAAUGACCGUGAGUGGUCUUGUUGGAAUAUAAUCGACUAGGUCGAUUUGAUCGAUGCUUCGAUCGGUGAUAUGAUUGCUUGGGUGCCUAUUAUGAAUUGUACUGACUUGCAGGUGAGAUCUGAGGCCAAGGUAAGUUCUCUGCCCUGUGCGUGUUUAGGCAGCAUGUAGUAUAAUAGUUUACUAAUCGGGCUUAGUGGGGUAGAACUCGCUGAGACGUAGUCUCAUCCCAGUUUGGGGAAAACCAUUUCAGGACCCCGCUGAAGAGCUAAGAAGGAGGAUCCGAGAAGGAGGACUCGGAGGCGAAUCUUAAGGAGAAAGAUUUUUGGAGGAAGAAGGCAAUCCUGAGAGGGGCCUUGAGUAUGGCCCAGUUCGUCUAAGUCUCUGUCUUCUUUUGAGACCUCCAUUUUGAUGUGAAUAGUUUUGAAGUGGUUUGUGUUUGGUAUAAAAGUUGGUUAUAAAUUUCAAUAUGAAAAAUAUGGCCCUGCUUUUCUAUCCCAUCGUUUUAUUGUCUGGGGAUUUUAACUGCUUCCGCAUGUGCUUAAUAAAAGAAAG
Molecule: long non-coding RNA, 2321 nt
Filed under: Eucalyptus grandis
Lineage: Eukaryota; Viridiplantae; Streptophyta; Magnoliopsida; Myrtales; Myrtaceae
Description: long non-coding RNA (EGRA_LNC007181)
Source: RNAcentral